GAGUUUGAUCUUGGCUCAGAUUGAACGCUGGCGGCAUGCCUUACACAUGCAAGUCGAACGGUAACAGGUCUUCGGAUGCUGACGAGUGGCGAACGGGUGAGUAAUACAUCGGAACGUGCCCGAUCGUGGGGGGAUAACGAAGCGAAAGCUUUGCUAAUACCGCAUAAGAUCUACGGAUGAAAGCAGGGGACCGCAAGGCCUUGCGCGAACGGAGCGGCCGAUGGCAGAUUAGGUAGUUGGUGGGAUAAAAGCUUACCAAGCCGACGAUCUGUAGCUGGUCUGAGAGGACGACCAGCCACACUGGGACUGAGACACGGCCCAGACUCCUACGGGAGGCAGCAGUGGGGAAUUUUGGACAAUGGGCGAAAGCCUGAUCCAGCCAUGCCGCGUGCAGGAUGAAGGCCU
RNAcentral lists this ribosomal RNA (405 nucleotides) under uncultured microorganism. RNAcentral's name for it is "bacterial SSU rRNA". It matches the Rfam family "Bacterial small subunit ribosomal RNA", at positions 9 to 417 of the family's 1533-position model. The record is from RNAcentral.